GGAUUCCCCUAGUAACUGCGAGUGAAGCGGGAAAAGCUCAAAUUUGAAAUCUGGCAGUCUUUGGCUGUCCGAGUUGUAAUCUAGAGAAGUGUUACCCGCGCUGGACCGUGUACAAGUCUCCUGGAAUGGAGCGUCAUAGAGGGUGAGAAUCCCGUCUCUGACACGGACUCCCAGGGCUUUGUGGUAUGCUCUCAAAGAGUCGAGUUGUUUGGGAAUGCAGCUCAAAAUGGGUGGUAAAUUCCAUCUAAAGCUAAAUAUUGGCGAGAGACCGAUAGCGAACAAGUACCGUGAGGGAAAGAUGAAAAGAACUUUGGAAAGAGAGUUAAACAGUACGUGAAAUUGCUGAAAGGGAAACGCUUGAAGUCAGUCACAUUGACUAGGGAUCAGCCUUGCAUUGCAUGGUGUACUUUCUGGUUGAUGGGUCAGCAUCAAUUUUGACUGCUGGAAAAAAGGCUUGGGGGAAUGUGACAGCUCUGGCUGUGUUAUAGACCCUUGUCAUAUACAGCGGUUGGGAUUGAGGAACUCAGCACGCCGCAAGGCCGGGUUUCGACCACGUUCGUGCUUAGGAUGCUGGCAUAAUGGCUUUAAGCGACCCGUCUUGAAACACGGACCAAGGAGUCUAACAUGCCUGCGAGUGUUUGGGUGGAAAACCCAAGCGCGUAAUGAAAGUGAAAGUUGAGAUCCCUGUCGUGGGGAGCAUCGACGCCCGGACCAGAACUUUUGGGACGGAUCUGCGGUAGAGCAUGUAUGUUGGGACCCGAAAGAUGGUGAACUAUGCCUGAAUAGGGUGAAGCCAGAGGAAACUCUGGUGGAGGCUCGUAGCGAUUCUGACGUGCAAAUCGAUCGUCAAAUUUGGGUAUAGGGGCGAAAGACUAAUCGA
RNAcentral lists this ribosomal RNA (880 nucleotides) under Lepiota clypeolaria. RNAcentral's name for it is "LSU rRNA". It matches the Rfam family "Eukaryotic large subunit ribosomal RNA", at positions 72 to 938 of the family's 3401-position model. Lineage: Eukaryota; Fungi; Basidiomycota; Agaricomycetes; Agaricales; Agaricaceae. The record is from RNAcentral.